This 502-nucleotide ribosomal RNA is filed under the name uncultured bacterium. RNAcentral describes it as "partial 16S ribosomal RNA". It matches the Rfam family "Bacterial small subunit ribosomal RNA", at positions 30 to 523 of the family's 1533-position model. The record is from RNAcentral.
AUUGAACGCUGGCGGCAUGCCUUACACAUGCAAGUCGAACGGCAGCACGGGUGCUUGCACCUGGUGGCGAGUGGCGAACGGGUGAGUAAUACAUCGGAACGUACCUUAUCGUGGGGGAUAACGCAGCGAAAGCUGUGCUAAUACCGCAUACGCCCUGAGGGGGAAAGCGGGGGAUCGAAAGACCUCGCGCGAUUAGAGCGGCCGAUGCCUGAUUAGCUUGUUGGUGGGGUAAAAGCCCACCAAGGCGACGAUCAGUAGCUGGCCUGAGAGGACGAUCAGCCACACUGGGACUGAGACACGGCCCAGACUCCUACGGGAGGCAGCAGUGGGGAAUUUUGGACAAUGGGGGCAACCCUGAUCCAGCCAUUCCGCGUGAGUGAAGAAGGCCUUCGGGUUGUAAAGCUCUUUUGUCCGGGAAGAAACGGUUUCAGCUAAUACCUGAGACUACUGACGGUACCGGAAGAAUAAGGACCGGCUAACUACGUGCCAGCCGCCGCCGUAA